GGCUUUUGUUUUCUGUUUUUCCAUUUUCUCAUUUUCCAUGACUCUUAACAUAUUUAUGACCUGGGGCUUUUUUUGGGUGGGAUCCUGACGGAAUGUUAGUGCUAUUCAGUAGUUCUGGUGGGAGUUGGGGGUGGGCAAUGGGGUGAAUCUGAAACUUGCCCCAAAUUUGCAUUCUAGUCAUCAGUACAGAUUCUAUACGUCUUCGAUGUUUGAUUAAGAGGUGCAUGGUAUGGGACUGGCAAGAUGGCUCAGCCAGUAAAGGUGCUUAUAGCCAAGCCUGAAGAUCGGACUUCAAUCCCCAAUCCUCACAUGGUGAGAAGAGAGAGCUUACUCCCCCAAGUUGAUCCCUAAUUUCCAUGCACUAAAUAGAUAGGUAGGUGGAUAGGCAAGUAGAUAGGUCGGUAGGCAGAUAGACAGACAGACAGAUAGACAGGCAGGCAGGCAGACGUGGUAUGGCUGGUAUGAGUUGGAGUUAACUUGGCCUUCCUCACACAGCGAGGUUGAAUAAAAUCCUUGACCUGAUUCCUUACUUUAACACUUGUAUUCUGGGAUGUCGGGGAAAGACCUGAAGGGACAAUGUUAUUAAAGGUCAGAAGGACCAUGGAGCUAUAGAAGAUCAGUCCUAGGGCGAUUCAUCAGCACAGUCCUUGCCUUGUCUGAACCGUGUCCUUGUCUGUGUAGUUAGGUAUUAGUUUGUCAUCUUGGCCACCGGAUCACUUUUGUAGACCCUUACACUACCUUUACUUUGACUAUGAGGAAGCUGGUUUCCAGAGAGCCCAGCCAACCCGAACAGUUUGCUGUUAGGGGAGCCAUCAGCACUCUGCUUACCUGAAGUAGUCUUCACUCCUACUGACUGUCUCACUGUCAUUACUAACUCUCUCCUUUGUGUCCUGGCUCAGGGGGUAGGGGUGGGGUGUCCAUCACAGACUAUGACCACAGGGUGAACCCAGAAAUGUAGAUGGACAAGCAACCCCAGGCCCUUUGUGGGAAGAUUCCUUGUUCUAAGCCUCUGCAGGUACCUUGUAGCAGCUCCACUCCUGGCUAGACUUGAUGCUAAGGCAUGGCCUGAGCAAUUCUAAGUGUGAGUGGCUGAAUGCUGCCAGCAUUUGGUUAGCUGGAAAGCACAUACUUGGGCCUCGGUUGGGUGGGGUCCUGGCUAGUUGGGACUCUUUGGGGCGGGGGUGGGGAACUUCGUGAUUUCACUUGUUUCGCUGAGGAGGUGUGUUUGGAGUUGAGUCUUUAGAGGGGGAGGCUGGAGAGCAGCUGUGGGAAAGUCUGGGAUCCGGCCGAGGUGUUUUCCCAGAGGACUGUGGGGGUGUCGCCAGGGCAAUGGGGAGAGGAAGGAGACAAACCCCUCUCCUAAGAUAGCCCAUGACAGGGUGCUUCCCAAAUGAGCCAAGAUAGGACAAGAACCCAAAUGUGGCCAAGCUGUAAUUCCAUGUGGCAGUGCUGAGAUCCAACCUGGCUUUGUGGGGUUUUUGUAUUGUAUUGGUCCUUGGAGGUCUUGACCUCAGUUUUUCUAGAGGAUGCUCAGGGGGAAGGUGUCUACAGUUAAAUAAAACACUGUCUUUGCAGGUGUCUUUCAGACCCAUAAUUAAAGACUCUGUGAUGAGCGGUUGGCCAAAGGAUUUUCUGUUCUGCCCUGCCUGGGCUUCAGGGGUGUUCGUAUGUGGAGAAAACCAAACACUUUUAAGUUCUUUAGGAUGUCCAGCCAGUUAUCCUGUCCAUAACUGCAGGUCCACAGCUGGUUGUAGGUACCUAGAGCCACUGGGCGUCACUAUCCUGGCUUCCCCUCAAUUUCCCACUCUAUGCAUGAGGCUCUGUGCAUAACCCUAUGAAAAGGCAGCAUGAGGGGCUGCAUAUCAACACCUCAGGCUCACCUGCACACACGUGGGGCACCUCAGGCUCACCUGCACACACCUGGGGCCACCUCAGGCUCACCUGCACACUCCACACCUGGGGCCACCUCAGGCUCACCUGCACACACCUGGGGCCACCUCAGGCUUACCUGCACACACCUGGGGCCACCUCAGGCUCACCUGCACACACCUGGGGAUACAGAAAAUUCAGUCAUCAUAUCUUUUAUGAUUGAUUGUCCAUGCAAAGAAGUGAUUGGUUCUGAGAUCAGCUCUCCCUCCCUCCCUCCCUUCCUUUCUCCCUCCCUGCCUCCCUUCUUUCCUUCCUUUCUCCUUCCUUCCUUUCUUCCUUCCUUCCUUCCUUCCUUCCUUCCUUCCUUCCUUCCUUCUCCUUUCCUUUUAUUGGAUACUGGGGGUCAAAUCUAGAUAAGCACUCUACCACUGAUCUUGGUCCCACAUCCUUCACUUGUGUUUCUUCAUUAUUUGGGGGUGGCGUUUUCAAACUUCUUUAGAUUGACUCAGGUAUUUUUUAUUUUAUUUCACUCUAUUCUUUAAUUUGGUGCAGUCUCCAUAUUUCCAAGCCAAAGAAUCUUUUCAGUUUUCCUGGUAAGGGGCCAACGUCCUUCAUUUUCAUUAAUACCUUUGGUCUAGCGUUAUCUGGGUGUUUUUCACAGUGUGUGUGUGUGUGUGUGUGUGUGUGUAGGAGCAGAACUUCCUUUGCUCUCUCUUUUGAUCCCAGCUUCUUCUUUAACACUUCUCCUUUGGAGCCUGGCACUCGUCCUUUGCAGAAAUAGAUGGGGUUUGACUCCUGCUUGAUUAUUUAAAGCUGAGUGACCACGGAAACGUUGCUGCAUCUCUGAGCACUUGUUUCCUUGGACUGAGGCACAAUACAAAUAGUCUUCAGACAGGUGGGACUCUGAAUUGCUACACCCAUGGCUUCUUCCUGACCCCAGAUCCUUCCUUACCUACCCUUGAGACCCAUCUGGGGCUUGAAGGCAAACUUCACAUCAUAGGUGAUGCUUAAGAUAGAAGCAGUCAUGUUGGGCAGAGUCAGCUUCGGACAGAGUCAGCUUGGGCCUGGGUGGUGAAUGUGAGGAGGUUCAGGACAAAUGUCCAAGUCUGGUUUGAGGCUCAAGGAGUUGCAGAACACAAACCAUGGGACAGGACAUGCCUUGGAGAGCCAGCCUGUGCUGAGCUGCAGGGAUAGGACUGUAACGGAGGCAGUGACGGGGGCAGUGAUGGAGGUGGUAACGGAGGCUGUAGUGUGCAGAGCUCAAGGCCAUGGGCAAGGCCAGCACUAAAGCUGUCAGCCAUUUCAUCUUCACCACAGCCAUGGAGGAGGUUGGUGCCAUCUCUAGAGGGGGGGGUAUGGGUCCCAGAGGCAGAAGUCAUUUACCCUGUUAGCAUUCUGUCUAAGCUCUACCCUACAAUUACCUGGCAAUAGUCAGGUAGGGAAAGGGGCUGUUACCUCCCCCCCCUCUCUUUUUCUCUCUUGCUCUCUUCUCCUCUUCCCCCCCACAUGCUUAUGGCCAGCCAGCCUCUUCUCCCCCCCCCUCUCUCUGCCUUUCUUUGUCUCUACUACCCUCUUAACUCCCCUCCCCAUGCCCCGAAUAAACUCUAUUCUAUACUAUACCAUCCAUCGUUGUGUGGUUGGUUCCUCAGGGGGAAGGGAUGCCUUGGCAUGGGCCUGCAGAGGCAUCUCCUACCCCCACACCUCCAUAGAACAUAUUCCCCCUGUCUUUAUCUUUUUAGAAACACAUCCCCUCCCUCAGUGCCGGCUAAGUGAGUGCUGAAGCCCAGAGUGGAUUCUGGGCUUGGCAGCCUGGCAGAGCUCCCUCUGAGCUGCAGCCUAGUGCAUAACGAAGCCAGCUAAGGGGCAGCUUGAUCCUCAGAGCCUUUCCCAUGCAGGCUCUGAACCUUUCAUUGCAACCUUUUCCAUGUACUGGGGAAAACAGCUCUACCCAGGCACCUUGCAUGCAAUACGAUUCAUUUAGUUGGACCAUCGAGUGGCGUUUUGUUGCUGUUUUGCUUUUAGCAAAUUUUCAAGACAACAUAACCCAUCAAUAUCCAAUUGUAUUGCUUACCAGGAGUCAGCAAUCCCAGCCUGGGUGGCUUGACCAAGCCAGCUCAGUCAGUCAACAGGUUCUCCAGAGCAGGAGUGAGGUUUUUGUUUUUUGUUUUGUUUUGUUUUUUUAAAGGACAAUUAGACCCCAGCCAGUUCUGUGACUAAAGUGGGUUUAUUUUUUUCCAGUCUGCUUUAUACCACUUUAAGUACAUGCAAAAUAAUAAGAUCAAUUCUGGGUCAAGGAACAAGCAAGGCAAUAAACAAAAUUCCGCAAUGAGGAUGACUGAGACAAAACGGAUGUGCACAGGCCUCAGUUGAGCCCGCUCUGAGCUUUGCAUCAACUCAAAUGUAAAUGUUCUUACUCUGAGCCUGCCCGGUGGUCUCCCUCCCCAACCCCCACCCCCACCCCCGAGUCCUGGCCCAAAGUCAGAUCCCUGCCUUCAGUUUAUUCUAUUGUCCUGGCCUGAUAUCAAAUUUCCCGCCAAGUUCCUAGAAGCGGCCCCCAAAAGCUCUUCACAGUGGCUUUGCUAAGUGACUUCUGUUUCACCUUGUAUGGCUACAGUUCUUGGCCGGGACGCUUCACACGCAUCACUUAUGCUGUGGGCUCCUCUUGCUUUGCUCUGAGGGAGGCCACGCUUGCUGUUCUGUCCUUGCAGUACUUCUCUCGCUCCCUCACCCCAUGCACCCAACACCUCCUUUUAUCUCAUCUCCCCUUGCUUCCUUUUUAUAAAAUAAAUACAGCCUCAUGGAGCCCAGGCUAGCCUUGGACUCUUCAUGGAGCCAAGGAUCACGUUAAAUCCCUGUUUCUCGUGCUGCUACCCCUGAAGUGCUGGGAUGACUACCAGUGUGCCCUGCCUGCCUGGGACGCUCAGAGCUUUCGUGCCACACGACUCACAUUUUGUCCACUCCCUCGUUGAUGGACAUUUGGGAAUUUUUAUUUUGCCCAGCAGGUUCUUUGGCUGAGCAUUUUGACUGCCCCACUGUACACCUGAAAUUCCUUUGACCUGAUUUGAAGUGCCUUGGGUCCUUUUCAAGCCCACUCCAUGGUCUCCUAAAGCCUCCCCCCGCCCCCGCCCCGCUUCCCAGCAACAGUCCACUCAGAUGCUUUCUCAUUUGUCUUUGGGAGUCUGUUCUCAUCCCUCCAACUUGUCUGCCAGGGGACUGCCGCCAGCCAGCCAGCCAGCCAGCCAGCCAGCCAGCCAGCCAGCUGUGGAAAUCAAUUUAAAUCGAAUAGUGGCUUGCUCUCUCCCAAGAGGCGAGGUAAUUUUCUGUGAUGGGAAGGAGGAUAAUGAGGGGCGGUUUGGACUUGACCUGGCUCCUCCAUGAAAGAGCUGGGACUUCCAGAACUCCACUGUCUUGAGUGUUAAUUAAAACAGCUCCUGGGGUGAAGAACAAGAGACAGAAGCAAGCCGCAGUGGGGCCCAGAGCCUGAACUUUCUGUUCUCUGCUUCCCUUUUCACAGUGUCAGCAAGCUUAUGCUGUUCAGAGUGCUCAGUGUGGGACAGUAGUGUGGCUCCUGGGACAUCCAUUUUCCCUCUCUGCAGCACCUAUGUCCCUCAGGGCUCAGGUCAUGGCUGGGGUCCCAUGAGGGUAUACCACCUAGCUCCCUGUACUUAUGUGGAUGGGAGUUCAUGGCAAAGACAAGGAUUUCCCAUCUCCCCAUGUUCAGGAAGCUUGUGAUGGGACGAUGACAUGGGGAUCAAGGGCAGGGACCUGCCUACUGCUCCCUGCGGAUGGCAUCUAGCCACAGGAGUGGAUGGGAACGGAAACAUUAAUGUGAUGUCACUGUACAUGCUUGCUUAUUCUGAGCGCCUGUCUAGGAUUUCCGAUGCUCAUCUCUCCUUGGGAUCCUUGGGGUUGGGAGAGCAUUAGAUGGGUUCAGCUGUAUUUGCUGGCAUCCCAGUUCUGUCACUUAUCUAUGGGACCCUGUUCCUUCACUCGACUGAACCUUGGUGUCUGUACUCUCCCAUGAGUGUGCUCUAGGUCUUGUCAGCUACAGAGGUGCCCUGAAAUGUGGUUUCCCUAUGACCUGUGAGGCAUAAAACCCCCCAUUUCUCUGAUUCCUUUGGAGGCCCCCAGAAGUGGUCGAUACCAGAGCUCACAGGGCCCAGAAAAAAAAAAUUCUGUUGAAGCCCUUGGAGAAAAGACGCUCACUGCUUGAUUCCCUUUGGAAGCAGACCGUUCAUUUUAGCUGGCGUUCAUAAAUCAAAUGCUCAGGAAGACACUUUACCGUUUCGCUAAUGAAGCUGAGUGCAGCCGGAUUGGAAAUAGCUUUUGAGGGCCUAGGAAAGGGGAUCUAAUGAUUCUCCUGUUCUGACUGUGCUUUUAUGACAUUGAGAAGAGCAGUUGGCGCUGCUAAAAAUAAAUGAUUCAGCUUAAUGGGAAUUACCUACCAAACAGGGGCGAUGGCAUUCCACCAGCCAACUUCAUGUGGGGAAUGAGAUAGUGACCACAGUUACGUCCUGUUUUAUUCAUUUAAAAAAAUGUUUCGUCAAAUGUUUUCCUUUGAUCAUUUUAUUACAAUGUGUGUGAUGUAUUCUGAUUCUACUCACCCCACCAUCUCUUAGCUCUUCCAGAUCCCUGUCAAGACCCCUCCUCCCUAAAACUCCCCUUCCUGAAUUUGUGUCUUUUCGUUUGGUUUUGUGACUUGCUGAGUUUAACUAGGGCCGCCCGUGUGACCAUGGGUUUGGAAUUGUCCACUGGAGUCUGGUUAUGUCAUGCAUUUCAGCUAGUAACUUACAGAUCUGUAUUCUUGGCCUUUAAGAUCUUAAAUACGUAAUAUGCGAAUAGGAUUUUAAUUCGUAAAAUAGUGGCUACCAAGAUUUUCCCUAUGAAAAUGCAAGUUUCUGACUGGUCCUGUUUAAUGGACACCAACCCCGGCUUGGUGUGUCCUCAGCCCUUCUUGUGCCUUUUGUUUAUUUGUGUGAAACAGGGUCUCAUGUAGCCCAAGCUGAGGGCAACCUCAGACUUCUGAGCUUACCUGCUGUCGUGUGACACCACAUAUGCAUUUUGCAAGGCUGAUAGAACCCAGCACCUCCAGCAUGUUAGAUAGACACCCCACCAACUGGGCCACACGCCUGGCUCAUUCAGUAGCUGACUUUAUGGAGACUUUGUACAGUCUUAUGGAGCAAACUCUACCCCCGCCAACCCCCAUCUCAAAGGUGAGGAAACAAGGGCGAGAAAGGUUAAGUGUCACAUCAAGGCCACGCACUCAAGGUCAUGUGACCUAGAGGUGAAGUAGCCAUCUGGCGCCUGUGACUCUGUCUCCCUACGCAUCACACCGUUCUGUGAACAUAACUUUGCUUUCCAAUAUGCAGAGUGGGGAAUUGGAGCAAACGAUGUGGAACUAGGGCACUUCUGGUCUCAGAAGUAGAGAGGUUGCUUAAAGGUAAUUUAUAUUGUUUUGUUCAAAUGUUUAUGCAUUUUCUAAGACGGUAACAUGGGACUAUGCAGGGGGAGGUAGGGCUUUUGUUUUGUUUGGAAAACAAAAAAAAACCUUUCUCCCCUUUACUCUCUACCUUUUUAAACUCAGCAGCCACACUCUGGUUUCUCUUCAGAUCGUAUAAACUCAGCAGCCAGGGACUGAGAAUCCAACAGAAAAAAAAUAUUAAUAUCAUGGAAAGAAGUAGAAACCACAGGAGCGAGGCUUGGGGGCUUGUAGCACACUCAUGGCAAUAACUGUGGAGAAGGAAGUAGACAGAAAGGCUCUAGGGUUAGCUGACUGUGGUAAAGAUGUGGGAAGAGGAGUGUGCCCUGCAGAUUCUAGCUGGAGCUUGUCCACUGACUGGCAUUGUCGGUCCCCAGAGAUGCAGAACCCCCAUUCUCUCCCUAUGGGAGUAGGGACACCUUUCCGAACAGAAUUCUGUAUCACUUGUGUGAAAGUAAGUUUGCAGCCUGCUGUAAGACAGAAGAGAGAGGCGUAGGGAGCCUGUUGGUCUCAGCUAAAAGUUAUCCUCACAUGGUAGGUUCAUUUUGGGGGGCAUACCUGAGUGCUUCCACUGUAUAUUAUAUUUAAACCGGAAAAAUGUGGUCACACCUCUUUCUUUAAAUGAACUAACGGAAAGGACUCAAUUUAGAAGAAAAAGGUAUGGGUUUAAAAUGCUCGCGACAGGCUUAUUAUCUACUGGGUAAAGACUAAUGUGUCACUUAGGAAGUAACUAAAAGAAAAGGACCAAACAAAAAGCCACUCAGACAAAAGUGCCAUUCACGAUAACAGGCGGAGAGGCUGGGAUGUAGUCUGAGCACUUGCCUGGGUACACAAAGACCCGGGUUCUGUCCCUAGCGUCACUUAAGCCAAGCAUGGUGCUGCAUGCCUGUAAAACCCGCACUCUUGAGGUGGAGACGGGAUGGUCACGAGUGUAAGGUUCUCCUCCACUACAUAAUGUGUUCCAGGCCAGCCUGGGUCACAUGAAACCCCGUCUCAAAAACAAAAGCAAAACAAAGCUUCCCAGCGAAGCGACAGGCCAGGAGACUACAGAAAAAAACAAAAAACAAAAAACAAAAAACCAGGAAAGGGCCACAACCAGCCAUGAGGCAGAAUCCAUCGAGGCCACAUGGGGAAAGAGGACCAUGCAGCAGGAUGAGGAGCUGAGGUCAAGGCAGAAUGGUUUGUGGGGGACAAAGAAGGGCUGUGGGUGGUUUCUCUCUCCAGACUUUGAUGCUUCCUUUCUUUUCUUCUUUUUCUUAUCUUUUAUUCUCACCACUUACAGGGAGCUCAGUGAGACCAGUAAGACUGCUCACUUCCAAGCCUAAUGACGUGAGUUUAGUCCCCAGGAUCCCCAUGGUAGAACUGACUCUAAGUGGUCCUCUGACCUCUGCAUGCACAUCAUGAUACACCGCUCUUCUCCACACACAGGUACAUACACACAAAAGAAAUAAGUAAGAGGAAAAAGGACCUUACGGGCUUGGGUGGUAUAGCCAGAAUCAGCCAAUUUGUUCUAAAAAAAGAAAGGGAGGAAAGAAGGAAGGAAGAGAGAGAGAGAGAGAGAGAGAGAGAGAGAGAGAGAGAGAGAGAAAGAAAGAAAGAAGAAAAAAUCAAGCUAACAUUCUUUCACUGUAAAGCAGCGUUUCUCCACAAAAUAAAACAGAAAGGAAGGGAAAAAACCUCUUCUCUCUCCACAGUGAAACUGUGGCAUCUGUACAAAGAAGACAGUUCAGCACUGACAGCGUGUGAACAACAGACGCGACGGGCUCUGGAAACUUAGACAAACUGAUAUGGCCAGGCAGCACUGUCUGUUGGCGCUGGCUGAGUCCCAUUCAUACUGGGUACUAGCACAGUAACUUGAUAAUCAGACCAUCAUCCAUACCUGGUAUUUGUAUGUGACUGACACCCCUUGGCACCACAGAAUCACAGACACCCAAGGAGAUGAGGAAACAGAGAAAGGAAAUAAAUGCUUCUAGGCACAGAGGAGCAUGGUGGUCCUCGGCACUUCCCCAGAUAACAGAGAGGAAGGCCAAAUCCUUUCUCCAGGUAAUAACAGUAAACAUUACCAUGUGAUAUCUGCAUUUAUUUCUUAGAGCCAUUGCUCGGUGGUGUUGGGCUAAGCGUUGGGGCUGAUCUGAACAUGGAUGCGGUGGAGAUAACACAGUGUGGGGGGAUUUAGCAUCAAUCCUGGUCCCAAACAGCUCUACAGCUUUAUCUGAACAUUUGUGAAGAGGGAAAGGCUGCAUGCAGCCAAGCAGGAAAUUGACUGAUCUUUCUUGAAACGAGACUAGCAUUUCAAGAGCCAGCAUCCGCGAGGGACCCAGAAGUAGGGAGUGGGAAGGCAUAAAACUGUGUUGAGAGAUGGAGUGAAGGAAGGAUGUCCCUCCAUAGCUGUGGAUGCUCAGGUCAGGAGGGUUUGGUACUAGAGAUGGGGCUCAGUACUGGGAUGGGCACAGAGGCCAGGCACAGAUGUUUAAGACCAGAAGGAAGGUGCUGUGUGUGCCCCACAGUAGGGUGUGUACCUUAUAUAAGCAUCCUUCCUGUGUUCUUAGAUUCCUGUAGGCCAUGAAUGCAAAGUUCUGGGUUCACAGACACAGCUUAUCAGAGAUCCUUCUAUACACUGACUUUGUUGUCUUAACCUGCUAGGAGAAGAGAAUCAGGGUUGUUUCAGUGGGAAGGAAUGUGCAAUGGGAGUGGAGGGAUGGCUCAGUUAGUAAAGCAUUUGCUUUAUAAACAGGAAGAACUGAGUUUGAUGCCCAGAGCCCAGGUCAAAAUGCCAGGCAUGGUCUGUGCUUAUAAUCCCAGUGCUGGGGAAGUGGAGACAGGAGGAGUCCCUGGGGCUCACUGGCUGGCUAGUCUGCUUAAAUGGUGAGCUCUGGGCCAGUGAGAGACCCUGCUUCAAAGGAAGUGGUUAGCCUUCUGAGGAUGACACAAAGUUGUCUUCUGGCCUCUACCUAUGCACCUACACACACACACACACACACACACACACACACACACACACACACCCCAAAAAAGAAGUGCAAUGAUUGAAGAAAGCAGUUACCUGUUCUCCUCUCCUUCCAUCACAGGUAUGAAGUAGUAGUGCAGAAAGUAACUGGAUGAUAAGAGUGCAGGGUAUAAAAUUAGAUGGAUUUGAUGGGAAGGCUAUCUGUAGUUUGUCAAACAGGUCUACCCACUUGGUAAGUGAUGGAACACAGUUUGCUUCUGAGCUUCCUGGUAGACAAACCAAAGAGGUGAGCCCUCUCUGCUGUCCUGAAAGAUAAUCUCAAUGUCCCCAUGAGCAAUAAACAGCAAGUUUCAUGGAGCUGUUCCUUAGAGGAGCUGUUCCUUAGAAAAAUCUCUUUGCCUGGAGGUCUGCCCUGAAGCAGUCACAUGAAAAUCACAGGGUCUCUCACUGAAUCUGGACUCACCAUUUCAGUUAGCAGGGCUGCCUUGCAAGUCCUUGGGAUCUGCCCACGCUGGGGUUACAGACUUGCAUUGCCAUGCCUGGCUUUCAGAAUUUGCACAGCAAGCUCUUUAUCCACAGAGCCAUCUUCCCAGCUUUGAAUUCCACCCUCGAGGUUGCUCUUCAGCCCAGAGCUAAGAAGCCCAUGCUCUGAACCCUGAUGGGGGUAGGGACACAGUGUUGACAGCAGGUAGGGUGUGGACAGAGGUACCCUAGAGUCAACUCAGAGCUUAAUGCAUCCUCUCCCCACCCCGACUCUGACUCUGUUUCUGUCUGUGUCUCUCUGUCUCUCAGUGUCUCAGGGUCUCUGUCUCAUCGUCUCAUCUCUGUCUCUGUAUGUGUGUGUGUGUGUGUGUGUGUGUGUGUGUGUGUGUGUGAGGGGCAGCGCAACUGUGCUUCUGAACACAGGGCUACACCCUGAGAUGUUCGGAACACAACAUGGCACUGGAAACCACCGAGGCACCCUAAAGAUGGAGAACCAUUCAAGCCAGAGGGCUGGCACAGCACAGUCUUACAGAUAAACGAGAUCCUUGGUUGCUUAGUUUACCCCCAAUUACACUAGCCCUGCCUUGCACUGCAGUACCCACUGCUCAACCCUGAUCCAGGCUCCCAUGGGUUGGGGAAAUAACUGGAUAAGAUGAUAAAGCAGACAUUGGCUCAGCUCGGGCCAUCUAUUGGUAUGUCCGUGACCAAGCUAAUUACUUCAAAAUAUGGAUGGACAUCAGAGAAAAGGUACUUCAGUAAAUAGUGGUGCAGUCAUGAGAGAUGGAAAUGCUUUAGUCCAGACCAUUAAAUAAGAAUGAGGGAGAUGGGGGCUGGGGAUUUAGCUCAGUGGUAGAGCGCUUCCCUAGGAAGCACAAGGCCCUGGGUUCGAUCCCCAGCUCCAAAAAAAAGAACCAAAAAAAAAAAAAAAAAAGGAAAAAAAAAAGAAUGAGGGAGAUGGACAGUUAUUGGUGUGGAAGUGUGUCUAUGGAAUAUUGACAAGUGAAGAGCAGCUUACAGUGUGUGUGUGUGUGUGUGUGUGUGUGUGAGAGAGAGAGAGAGAGAGAGAGAGAGAGAGAGAGACAGACAGACAGACAGACAGACACAGAGAGAGAGAGGCAGAGAGAGAGAUGGACAAAGAAAGAGACCCACACACAGAGAGAAAUGUAGAUAAAGACACCUACCUAUCAAUGUACAAAAUUAUCUAAACCCUCAUGAGGUUUUAGAUAAUUUUUGUCUUCCUCUUAUGAUUGAUGCUUUUAACUUUUUUUUUUGAUUGAGCCUGCAUAUGUUACGAGUUACAGUCAUUCGAAAUUUGUUUUUUUUUUUUUUAAUUUUUAUUUUGUGUGUCUGGGUGUUUUGUCUGCAUGUGUGUAUCUUUAUAUAUGUCUGGUGCCGAAGGAGGCCAGGAGCAAGAGUUGAAUCCCCUGAAACUUGAGUAGCAGACAUGUGUGGGCUGCCAUGUGAGUUCUGGGGCUCAGGUUCUCUGCAAAAGCAGCUGGUACUCUUAAUCACCGAGCAGCUCUCCAGCCCUUAAAUUCCUUUUUAAAAAACGUGUUAAUUGACUCGUGUAAGAUAGGUUAUAAAAAUAAUCUCGCAACGCUAGGUGUGGCAACUUAAACCCACAACCCCGGCGUUCCUUAGGCAAAGGCAAAAUGGCUGCAAGUUUGAGGCCAGACUAGACUACAUAAUGAGGAAUGUCUCCCAACUAAACAAGUAAGCAGGCAAACGAACAAAACAGGUAUCAAGGAAACAUGUUCACGGUCUAAAACUUGGGAAAUUAUUCUUAAAAACUGGAAAACCAAUAAAUAAAUAAAUAAAUAAAUAAAUAAAUAAAUAAAUAAAUAGGGGGUUGGGGAUUUGGCUCAGUGGUAGAGUGCUUGCCUAGCAAGCGCAAGGCCCUAGGUUCGGUCCCCAGCUCUGGGAAAAAAAAAAACCUGGAAAACCAAACCUACAUUUUGUACAAUUAAUAUACCCUAAAAAAUUAAUAAGGAUCCCGUCCAGUUCUACACUGAGCCUCACAAGCUGCUCUGUUCACUGAGUUUUAAAGAGAAUCCUGUCUAAGCUAAAAUUUCUCUGCUUUCCAUACCACAGUGUACCAAAUGGCUUUUGUAGAUGCUAGACACCUGGUUUCUUAGCAGUUUCUAAAUGUCAUUCUCCCGGUGAAACCGCUCAGGGUAAAGCCGGCUUUUGGCUCCCAAAGAAAAAUAGAAACGGAGCUUACAAUUCAAAAUCACAAGGCGCUGUGUGAGCUUGAAUUUAAAACCCUCAGUAUACAUGUUCCAGCCACUUCAAAGGAUAGUCUUUCCCUUCCAACUGCCUCGUGAGAGGUGCCUGUGUUACCGAGUUCAUCGUCUGGGGGACUGAUUUUUUUUUAACAUCUUCACUAAUUGGGCUGGGUGUACAUAAAUUAGUACAGUUUGCCUAGCGUGCAUGAAGUCUGGGUUCUAUUCCCAGAACCUCAAAAACAAGUGUGAUGGUGCAUGCAUGUAAUCUCAGCACUCUGGGAGGUGGGGCCAGGAAGAUCAGGAGAUCGAGGUUAUCCUCAGCAACAUACUGAAAUUGAGGUUAGCCUAAGCUAUACAAGAGCUUAGCUCAAAAAGAAAACAGCUGAAGAAGUAGCUCAGCAGUUGAGAGGAGCUGCUCUUGCAGAGGACUCAGGCUUGGUUACCAGCAGGCACGAGGCUGCUCACAGCUGCCUAUAACUCUUGUUUUAGGGAUCUGAUGGAUCCUCUGACCUUCAGAGAAUCCUGGAUGCACAUAGUAUACACACACACACACACACAUACACAUACACACAGACACACACAGACACACACACAUACACACACAGACACACUCACGCAGACACACAUACACACACACAGACACACAGACACACACACACAUACACACAUACACACAGAGACACACACAGACACACACACACAGACACACACAGACAGACAGAGAGAGAGAGAGAGAGAGGCAGACAGACAGACGACUGACUGACAGACUAUGGAUAUGAUAAAUGUUGAGAAAUGUGAGUUUUAAAACCUCCAGUCACUCCAGUAAAGACUCAGAGACCAGAGAGGAGGUGCGGAGUGAAUGAAGAUACCCAGAGAGCUUGUAGCACUGAUGGUGCAUUUGACUAUUCUUUUUUUUUUUUAAAGAUUUAUUUAUUUAUUAUAUAUAAGUACACUGUAGCUGUCUUCAGAUACACCAGAAGAGAGCAUCAGAACUCUUUACAGAUGGUUGUGAGCCACCAUGUGGUUGCUGGGAAUUGAACUCGUGACCUCUGGAAGAGCAGUCGGGUGCUCUUAACCGCUGAGCCAUCUCUCCAGCCCGCAUUUGACUAUUCUUAAAGUUAACCAAAGGAUAUGUUGGCAAAUUUAACCAACAUUGUUCUUUUCUUGAGUUGGUACUCCUAUGUAAUCGAAGACAGCCUUAAACCCAGCACCCUGAGUCUUGGAGUUACAGACAUGCAUCCUCCUGAACGGCUCUAAGAUACUCUUAAACAACAGGAGUGCUGGAAAGGAACUUCCACUCCAGGCUUCAGGGCUGGGGCUGGGGUGCAGCCAGUGGCUGGGAGCUUGCCUGGCACGCAUGAGGCUCUGGACUCCAUCAUCAGGACUGUGGUAGUCUAGGAGAUGUUUGAUUUAAGGAUAAAUCGAGAGGCAAGCUCCAAUGGAGAAAUAGAAAUAGAUCUGUCAAUUCUGUAAACCACAAAGCAGUGUGAGCAGACGCGUAAGGUGUCUGAUAAGAAAGAACAAUGGGAAAAGGGCCGGCAUCUCGAAUUCGCUUUAGUCCUUUUAACCUUUGCUGAGUAGUGAUGGGCACCGCUAUCCGUGUCGAGGACUCAAAACCACGCAAAUACUUAAAAGAUGAGAGCUCAGGGGAAGAUGAAAACGUAAGCAUUUUUCUAAAAGAUUAAAAAUAAGGGGUUGGGGAUUUAGCUCAGUGGUAGAGCGCUUGCCUAGCAAGUGCAAGGCCCUGGGUUCGGUCCCCAGCUCCGAAAAAAAGAAAAAAAAAUAAGCACACAUAUCUAUGCUUACUGGACAUUUUUAAUACAUAUAUAUAUACACACACAAUAACCAAAAAUUUACUCACUGAUAAAAAUUAUUUUUCCCUCUAAAAUUACUUCAUUUUUUUUAGAAUGACAAGCAGUGUAGCACAUUUUUAAAAUUCCUUUAGUUAGUACCUCUAAUAUUUAAUUUAAAGCCCUUGGGAAGCAGAGGCAGGACUCACACUGGACGGGGGCAGAGAAGCUUCACAAGUCAUCAUCUGACCUCUCUUAGGUGCACCACGACCAAUGCACGCUUACUACAUCCAUAAAAUAAAUAGUUAAUAAAUAUAAAAAUGACUUUCAAGUUUUUCAGGAUUGCAUGUGUCUAAAGCUUUCGGUGCUCAUGUUGUAGCAUGCAUAAUUUUGAAGGGCUGAACGCAUUUGAGGGAUUUUCGAGCAGGUGAGUUGUGGGUUAUUGGCUUUGGGGAGGAACCUCUUAUUUCUGUCCUUACAAAUCUCUAAUUUUUCUUUUUUUAGACAAGGUCUCAAGAAGCCUUCUCAGAGGUCUCAAGAACGCUGUUCUCAGAGUUGCCACACAACUAAGGACGGCUUUGUUCGCUCCACCCUCCUGCCUCCAGCAGCAGGGGGCUGGAUUUAACAGGAACAUCCCACAGCAUGGUCCAUGAGGUGCUGGGAGGGCACCAGGGCUUCAGGCAUGCAUGGCAGCAUUCUACCUACUGAGCCUUAUCCCUGCCCACUUACGUUUGCACUUAAUUUUUAAAUUUUACCAUGACAGGUCCUGCGCCCGAAAAUAAGGAGGGUGUUUUAGGAACUGAUUGUAUCACUUUAAAAAGCGCAUUACAUCUCAUUAAAUGCACAGAUGCCUGGCAAGUGACGCAGGGGAAAGUCGCACCGCGAUGAUUAAGACCCAGAGCCCUCAUUCCAUUCUUUUCAGUCUUAAUUUUUUUAUGUAACAAGUAAUAGUGGCUUGUAUGUAUGAGAGGUAAAAAUUACUGUUAUAGCCAGGUGUACUGGCACACGCUUUUAAACAGAGCACAGAGGAGGAAGAGACAAGCAGAUCUCUGUGAGUUUGAAGCAAGCCUGGUCUACACAGCAAGUUUCAGGCCAGCCAGGACUACACAGUGACUCUGUCUUUAAAGAUAAACAUAAAACCUUUGAAAGGUCAUUGUAUCCCGGAGGCCUGGUGUAUCUUCCUUGAACCUCUACACACUUUCUCAGUCUUGGAAAUAUGACAUUGGACACGCGGUAUGAGUCACAUCCUGCUUCAGCAAGCCUUGGCGAGACCUUGCAGAAAACAGCUUUACAAUGUGAGGGCCUGUGUACAACUUGCUGUCAGUCAUUGCUGGAGAUCAGGGGCAUGAGGCCCCCAGAAGCACCUCCUACCUUCCACACAGACAGAAAAAGAAAGACUGAUGAACAGGUUCCAGUGAUUCAAAAUUCAUUUUUUUAAGAAUCCUAGAUAAAUUGGGUAGAGAUAAGUGUUACUGCAUGGGACUCGGGUACGGAUUUUUAUGGUACAACGGCAGAAUUGACUUCUACCGGUGUCUGUGUAGCCAUCAAAUCCCACGGUAUUGACUGGUCUUGUUGCCUGACUAAUAGCUGAACCGGCAAAAGGGCAUUGUUUGGACAACAUAUCCUCUGGGCUGUGUUUCAGCUCUCAGAACUCUAAGAAAGCAGUUUGUGCUCAGGUAUGCAUGACCAGUGUCUCCCAGGAGAAGCCAUCUUUUAAAAUGACUCUAGAGAAGACAGGCCUCUUACUGAAGAAAGACCAGGGACUAAUGGCUCCUCAGCGGGCAGUGGAGUUGGCUGUGGACAUUUUGGGAAGGAGCUCUUCCCAGAACCUUCAGUGUGAGUGUUUGUGGUAGAAGUCUAUCUGCUCACUUACAACCACGAUGCAGUGCCCCUGGAUGCCUUUCAUGGCCCCUUCUCAGGUUACAAACUUCCUGGACCUGUAGCAGCCUCAGGGAAGCCAGGCACAGCAAACUAGAAGGGUGCUUACCCAUGCCAGCACCACCCUGGUACAAGGACUGGCACAUAUAUCUGUCACCCACUCCAUGGUCAACUCAGGCAACUUAGUGAGAGUCUGUCUCCAAAAACAUAAAAUUUAAAAACUUGAGGAAAGGCUGAGCUUAGAGCUCAGUGACAGGGCGCUACCCUGGCAUGUGUCGGGGCAUGGGUCCACUCUUAGCAUUGCAAGACAAAUGGUCAUCUAUAGAUUGAUUGGCCUCUGGAUUGCCAGUUUGAGGCCUUAGAGAGGGAAAAGUCUAUACUGUGGACUCAUGUCUCAGCUAUGGCCUGUGAGACUCUCUCAGCAUCAGUGAUCUUGUCUCCAAGGUUUGGCAAAGUCCUGGAAUUUGCCAGCAAUCCUUGGCCUCAGUCACUCCUCUAGAGAGAGAGGAGAGGGUUUUGUGUCCUUAGGUCAGUCCUUAGGACACUGCGUCGUCUCUCCUGGUUGGGCAUCUUGGUAAUGGUUUCUGUUGAUGCUGGGGUCAAGUUGGGUCUAGUAGAUCUGAAGCCCCUAUGGCAGCUCCAUCCCUCAGUCACUCCUGGAAGUGAGGGCUGGGCCACUGGGGUUGUGUACCAAUGAGCACUCUCCUCAUGAGUGCUUAAGAUGUUCUCAAAGGUCCCUGUGUAGGUCCCAUCCCCCAAGGAAGCCUCUCAGACCUGAGUUACACUGCACCUACAUACAGAUCCAGAUCCUGGGGAGGUUGCUGAGAUGGUGACGAUAAAAUUGUUGCAGACACUUAAAGCUUUGCUUUUUGGUUUUUGUGUGGGUGCUGUCCUGGUGGAGGAACAUCAGAUGUCCUUGAAUGGGUGGAUUAGAGGGGUCCAUUGUCUUGCCCCACCCCCUGAGCGGGAAGAGAGGCUGACAGUAGUAAGAGAGGAAGUCUUAGACUCAGUCUGGGCUGGGUUUGAGUCUUCCUGGGGCUAAAAACUAUGACUGCCACUAAGGUUUGUUCCAUGAGCACAUGAGGGAUAGGAAGAAUGGGGAGCCCUCAAACAUGAGCAGGUGACAUAUUUACAAAACCGUGCAGAAUGUGGCAGCAGAGGAGUGGCUCUCAUUCCGUAUGAAUGUGGUACAAAAGCCAUUUCUCAGCUGUCCAUGAUAGCGCAGGCCUGCCAUCCCAGCACUUUGUAGGCCAUGAGUUAGAGUUAGCCUGGCCCACAUAGUGAGCGCUAUCCUCCUCCCCCUCCCCGUUUCUCUCUGCCUUAGCGACAGUAGCUUAUGAGUCUCACUCUGCUCCUUUGAAGCCUCACUUCUAAUUACUUUUAAUUAGUUCAUCUUGCUUGAUUAAAAAGCGAUGAACUUGGGGACCUUCCCGUUCAGAUGUAUUACUCACAGCUCUGGCUGGGCCUGAGUGCCUAUAGCCUGGAGAAGGACACCCAGGGGUGAUGUCAGGGAACUUCAAAUUAAGAAGGAGGUAGGAGGGGGUCGGGGUGGGGGAGAUGGUGACACUGGGUUCUUGUUUUAAAUUGGGGCAGGAAUGAAGGAAGGCAGUGACACUCAUCUGUGACAUUUGAAAAACCUUUGUGGGACACAGAUGUUCAGGUAGAAGGGUAGCCUAUUUAUAGAAACCCAUGUCAAAGGAAGAAGCAAGCCUGCUUCUCAAACAAAGAGAGACAAUUAACCUAAGACCUUCCCUGGCUGUGCAUACAGUGGGAGAGAUACCUUGGAGGUCACUCGGGCCAGAUGAUGCUGGGCAGCCCCACGUGGAGGCUAGUCUAGUUCUCUUUCCCAUCCCUUCCUUGAGGGUGAUGAGGGUGCCUCCGGGCUGUGCGUGGACAUUUUUCUGAGCAGUCUUUGGGGUAAGCUGGCUAUUGGCUCACGCUCAGCUGUCACUGAGUUUGGUCAUCAGUGUGCUUCUCUGCUCCGACCACCAGAAUUAGCACCUUUGUGUCUCCGUUGGUCCUUGAAGAGCAGUGUCCUUACAGUGCAGUUAGGAAGGUGGGUGGCAGGCUGAAGGCCUUUCACCUGCACAUGUAGGUGAUCGGGCACAGCUACUGUGGAGCAGACCCUCAGCCUGCCUCACCUUACCAGAGACUCUGCUGUGAUGGGGGGAAAUCUCCUAAGUCCAGACCGUGCACUAGUGUUUCAUAAAGAUCUCUUUUCUUUCAUUGAUUAGGUAAUUUAUUUACUUUACCUACUGACCAAAGCUUACCUUCUCCUCUCAUUUCCCAGUCCAACCCUCCACUCCCACCCAUCCAAAAAAAGAAAACAACACGCCUUCAGAAAGCCGCUCAGGGUGUUCAGACUGAGCAGAGACUGUCCCCACUACUGCCGCAAAGAGGCUUUUGUUUGUUUGUGUUUGUUUUUGUUUUUGUUUUUAAAGAUCUCUUGGUCUUGGGGUCAGCUGAGGACUUAGCACCCCAUCUCAUCUAUCCAAAAUAAGCAGAAAAAAAAAGAGACAUAGUAGACAUUCAUAGAGCAAUAGGUUGUUUUGUAAAAGACAUUCCGACAGAUGCUGGGAACAGGAACAGAAAGAAAACAAAGCCACCACGAAAACUCCACCCCAGGAACCGUGGUGCCCCCAGCACCCAGACCUUGUUUUCUAUUCUUUGCUAGCAAAAGAAAUCAGGCCUCCCUGGAGAAAUGGUCAAUUCUAAAGUUGGAACAUCUUUCGGUUGUUCUGUCGUAGUAAAAUACAUGUAACAUAAAACUUGCCAUCCAGUAGACAGAGCUUCAUGCUGCAGCCCAGGCUUGCUGGGAGCAUGGUAUGAAGGUGUUUGCACCCACCGAUCUCCAGAGAAACCAGGAAUGUCAAGCACACAGGAAAGAUGAAAAAACCUGCUCUUCAUUCAGAAAGCUGGGAAUUGGAAGUGAUCAAUAGCCUGGUGACCUUUGCUAUCUGUUGGGCCAGGCCAUAUCAAGCUUCUACAACCAGGACCAGAGGUGGCUAAUAUCUCACAGGACCCCUACCCUGUCUGCAUGACUGAGACCAGGCCAGACCCUUAGGCUCCUAAGCUAGCACAGACAGCCUAUCUCUAGAACCCAUCUUCUUGGAAGAAAUGGCGUUACCCUGAGUCGAGUUUCAGUGAAAUUAGGCUUUCUUGUAUCGCACCAGGAAACAUUAUUUUCCAAAUUAUACUGGGCUUAAAUAUACUGGGAAUAGAUGCCUGAUACCAGGCUAUUUAGAAGUCUUGACUGAGGAUGAUGAGGUCAAUCUGACUGAGUUUUCAUUCUCAGCUCUUCAAGGUUUGCAUCUCUGCCUGACAUCUGUAGAGACCACUCACAGGCUGGCCUCAGACUUGUUUAUCCUCCUGCCUCAGCUUCCCAAGUGCUGGCAGUACAACCAAGUACAACAAGCCUGGUCAAAAUUUAGCUUCGUAAAAUAUAAUUUUUUUUAAACACUUACUUAUUUUGUGUUGGGGGCAGGCUUGUGUUGUGGUGCGUGUGUGGAGGUCAGAGAAAGUUAGAGCCACCAUCUAGGCUCUGAAGAUCCAAUUCAGGUGGUCAGGCUUGGCAGCAAGACCCUUUACUCUCUGAGCCAUCUUACCCCCAAGUCGUAAACCUUGCUAAGUGUGUCGUUCAGUGAUACUAAAUUUGCUGGCAAUCACCUGCCUCCAUCACCACCACUCAUUUUCACAACUGCAGAACUGAAACCAUAGUGUUAAUCAGCUCCUCCCACCCCCCACAGCCAACCCUGGACCCUCUCUCUCUCCCUCUGUUGGUUAUCUUAAGGUUCCCUAAGACACUUACUUUUCCCUGUCUCAUCCAUUUCUCCUACAAUGAUGUAGUAUGUGUUUGAAUCCCCUUCCCUUUGAAAGCCAGAAGCAUUUUGUAGGGCCUGAGCAUCAAGCAUUCACAAAACUGUCUGGAACACGUGUCGGCAAUAACCCGAGUCUUUGUGCAGAAGCUCUGCUCGUGGAAUAGAAUCUCCACUGUGGGCUGUGAACAACAGCUGGUUCCUUCCAGAAUAUUCCAAACAAGCAGGACUGGUAAGCUUUAGCUUCACCGUGGAAAAAGCUGACAGAGCAGCUUCAGACAGGCACACAAGGUCAACAACUGUCAUGGUGACUGACUGUGUGUGUCAGUCUAGGUUUUGGACCCAGACUCUUGGUGAAGGGGUUGGAGAAAAGAUCAGACUGAUUGCUAUUGGCUUCUCCAUUCUCAAGUGCUGGGUUAUAGGCUUGUUCUCCUGUGCCUGGCUGCUAUUCUUUUAACUGUGAUAAAUUCAUGUUGCUUGUUGUAAGUAGUUCAUAACAGGAAAGCGAGCCCAGGGUGUAGGGAAAUUUUCCAUGCCAUCUAUGAAUGUCUUAAAAUAAUUUUUUUAAAAAGUUGUUUUAAAAGGAAAUAUGGCCUGAGGCAGAUGGAGAGAAAGCUGCGCUGGCGGGCAGAAGGGAGCAGAGCCAGCUGGAGCCAGGAGUCAGGGCAAACUUUGGAAGCUCAGUUUUCUUGGUUAUGGUGUGUGUGGGAGGAAGAUGGGGGCUGCCCCUUGUCUCCUGGAGCUGAUGAUUUUCCCCGCUUCCUCCCCAGCUCCGCAUCUAUUCCUGGGAUAUGUGCUAACCCUGAGAUUCACACCCUGAACUUCCAGGACCCCAGGAAUGUGGGACUCAGAGGCCAGUUCUGCUGGAGUCAGUGCCACAGCAAGGAUGCUUAGAGGAUGACUUUCCCAAGGACACCAUUGCUGUCGUCUAGGUGCCUGGACUUUACAUGGAACUGGUGCUAACAACACAUGCUGAGUGCUCCUGAAAUGAAGUUCUAGAACCCACAGCCAUUGGACAGGACUCUAGUGGCAAAGCAAUGCCCUCCAUGUUUGCUUGUCUAUUUUUGAGGCAGGGUUUUCUGCCAACCAGGCUGGCCUUGAGCUCAUUAUAUAGUUAUGUAUGAUCCUGAACUUGUCAUUCUCCUGCCUCAGCCUCCCGAGUGUUGGGAUAACUGGUGUGUUUCCUAAAAGCUAGAAUAUGUCUUUACAGACUCCAGCAUGGAUUCAGGGCGUAAAACUUGGCCCUGCUUGCAUCCUGUUACUUGACCUGUAGAGAUCACCUUUUUGUGCCUGUCUAUGUCUUCCUAGCAAAGGAAACCCCUCGUUGCAUGGCUGCCUCUCUCAGGCUCCUCCGAUAGGAAGCUGCCUUUCAGUCUUCGUAUUUUGUCUUUCAAGAAACACAUGUCAUAUGCUUUGUAAAAUGUCAAAGAGCCCAUUGAAAAUAAAUUUAUUUUUAUGUUAUUUUCUACAAAA
Non-coding RNA from Rattus norvegicus (Norway rat), 21959 nucleotides. The record is from RefSeq and is a predicted model, not a curated record. Lineage: Eukaryota; Metazoa; Chordata; Mammalia; Rodentia; Muridae.